GCCUUCAUGGUGUAAUGGUCAGCACGCUCGGCGCGUAUUCGAGAGGUCAGUGGUUUGAGUCCCGGCGAGGGCA
Molecule: transfer RNA, 73 nt
Filed under: Stegodyphus mimosarum
Lineage: Eukaryota; Metazoa; Arthropoda; Arachnida; Araneae; Eresidae
Rfam family: tRNA
About the family: Transfer RNA (tRNA) molecules are approximately 80 nucleotides in length. Their secondary structure includes four short double-helical elements and three loops (D, anti-codon, and T loops).
Source: Rfam by way of RNAcentral